Caenorhabditis elegans is the source of this 114-nucleotide non-coding RNA. NCBI's taxonomy places the organism in Eukaryota, Metazoa, Nematoda, Chromadorea, Rhabditida, Rhabditidae. The record is from Ensembl.
GGCCUGUGGUGUAGUGGUUAACACACUGGUCUUGUGAGUCGGAUUUCAUCUCCCGGCUUCAAGUUCAAAGCCAGAGACGUCGGUUCGAAUCCUUCCGGGUCCAAUUUUUGUUUU